GAACGCUAGCGGCAGGCUUAACACAUGCAAGUCGAGGGGUAUCACGCUUUCGGGCGUGAGAGACCGGCGCACGGGUGCGUAACGCGUAUACAAUCUACCUUUUACAGAGGGAUAGCCCAGAGAAAUUUGGAUUAAUACCUCAUAGUAUGUGAGAAUCGCAUGGUUUUCACAUUAAAGUUCCAACGGUAAAAGAUGAGCAUGCGUCCCAUUAGCUAGAUGGUAAGGUAACGGCUUACCAUGGCGACGAUGGGUAGGGGUCCUGAGAGGGAGAUCCCCCACACUGGUACUGAGACACGGACCAGACUCCUACGGGAGGCAGCAGUGAGGAAUAUUGGACAAUGGGCGCAAGCCUGAUCCAGCCAUGCCGCGUGCAGGAUGACGGUCCUAUGGAUUGUAAACUGCUUUUGUACAGGAAGAAACACUCCCUCGUGAGGGAGCUUGACGGUACUGUAAGAAUAAGGAUCGGCUAACUCCGUG
Molecule: ribosomal RNA, 477 nt
Filed under: uncultured bacterium
Lineage: Bacteria
Description: bacterial SSU rRNA
Rfam family: Bacterial small subunit ribosomal RNA
Source: RNAcentral